UACGAAGGGGGCGAGCGUUGUUCGGAUUUACUGGGCGUAAAGGGCGCGCAGGCGGUUCUGUUUGUCAGGCGUGAAAGCCCCGGGCUCAACCUGGGAAUGGCGCCUGGGACGGCGGGACUAGAGAUCGGGAGAGGAGCGUGGAAUUCCGGGUGUAGUGGUGAAAUGCGUAGAGAUCCGGAGGAACACCAGUGGCGAAGGCGACACGCUGGGCCGUACCUGACACUGAUGCGCGACAGCAUGGGGAGCAAACAGG
RNAcentral lists this ribosomal RNA (253 nucleotides) under uncultured bacterium. RNAcentral's name for it is "partial 16S ribosomal RNA". It matches the Rfam family "Bacterial small subunit ribosomal RNA", at positions 524 to 776 of the family's 1533-position model. The record is from RNAcentral.